GUAUUUAGUAUUUUAAAAUAAUAAACAAAAUAGAUUUUUAUCUGUCAGUCACAGAAAUGAAAACAAAAUUUAAAAAUAUAUAAAGCCUGGGAAGUGGAUUUAUCUCAUAUACUAUUGGAACUGGUACUGCCUUUCAAAGAACAGACCUAUUACAUUAUUAAAAGUUGCCCUCUGUUUACCCUAGUAGUUCCGCUUCUGAGAAUCCAUUCUGGAACACUAGAUAAUGGCAAUAGUAGACUACUAGAAUUCUAUUGUAUUAGUAUGUAAGUGAAAAAAAUUCACUCCAAGUAUGUUCUAGCAGAAAAAAAGAAGACUUAAGAUUUACAUCUUUCUGGAUAAAUUCAGAGACAUCUAGAGCUAUCGGACAGACAGGCCCAGUGAAGAUGAAUGCAGAGGCUACAAGCAAGAGCAAGAAGGGAGACUAUUUUCAAAUGUGGUCAUUAAGUAUCCUAGCCAUUCGAGAGGCAAACUGAUU
Molecule: long non-coding RNA, 475 nt
Filed under: Canis lupus familiaris (dog)
Lineage: Eukaryota; Metazoa; Chordata; Mammalia; Carnivora; Canidae
Description: lncRNA (ENSCAFG00030016351.1, ENSCAFG00040014733.1)
Source: RNAcentral